RNAcentral lists this unclassified non-coding RNA (240 nucleotides) under soil metagenome. RNAcentral's name for it is "partial contains 5.8S ribosomal RNA, internal transcribed spacer 2, and large subunit ribosomal RNA". The record is from RNAcentral.
AACCAUUCUCACCUGCGGCUAGACCUGCGGAGGGAUCAUUACUGAGUGCGGGCCCGCUCCGGGCCCAACCUCCCACCCGUGUCUCUUGCGUACUUUGUUGCUUUGGCGGGCCCACCGGGUCACUCCGGUCGCCGGGGGGCGCUAUGCUCCCGGGCCCGUGCCCGCCAGAGCACCCCUGUGAACCCUGAUGAGGAGAGGCUGUCUGAGUCCCACGAUAAUCGUUAAAACUUUCAACAAUGG